UGCAAGUCGAACGAUAUCAUCCAGCUUGCUGGAUGAGAAAGUGGCGCACGGGUGCGUAACGCGUAUGCAACCUACCUUAAUCAGGGGGAUAGCCCGGAGAAAUCCGGAUUAAUACCGCAUAAAAUCACAGUCCCACCUGGGACAAUGAUCAAACAUUUAUGGGAUUGAGAUGGGCAUGCGUGUCAUUAGCUAGUUGGCGGGGUAACGGCCCACCAAGGCGACGAUGACUAGGGGAUCUGAGAGGAUGGCCCCCCACACUGGUACUGAGACACGGACCAGACUCCUACGGGAGGCAGCAGUAAGGAAUAUUGGUCAAUGGAGGCAACUCUGAACCAGCCAUGCCGCGUGCAGGAAGACUGCCCUAUGGGUUGUAAACUGCUUUUAUCCGGGAAUAAACCUCUUUACGUGUAAAGAGCUGAAUGUACCGGAAGAAUAAGGAUCGGCUAACUCCGUGCCAGCAGCCGCGGUAAUACGGAGGAUCCAAGCGUUAUCCGGAUUUAUUGGGUUUAAAGGGUGCGUAGGCGGCCUGUUAAGUCAGGGGUGAAAGACGGUAGCUCAACUAUCGCAGUGCCCUUGAUACUGAUGGGCUUGAAUGGACUAGAGGUAGGCGGAAUGAGACAAGUAGCGGUGAAAUGCAUAGAUAUGUCUCAGAACACCGAUUGCGAAGGCAGCUUACUAUGGUCUUAUUGACGCUGAGGCACGAAAGCGUGGGGAUCAAACAGGAUUAGAUACCCUGGUAGUCCACGCCCUAAACGAUGAACACUCGCUGUUGGCGAUACACAGUCAGCGGCUAAGCGAAAGCGUUAAGUGUUCCACCUGGGGGAGUACGCUCGCAAGAGUGAAACUCAAAGGAAUUGACGGGGGGCCCGCACAAGCGGAAGA
This 882-nucleotide ribosomal RNA is filed under the name Pedobacter ginsenosidimutans. Its description in RNAcentral is "bacterial SSU rRNA". It matches the Rfam family "Bacterial small subunit ribosomal RNA", at positions 56 to 936 of the family's 1533-position model. The record is from RNAcentral. Lineage: Bacteria; Pseudomonadati; Bacteroidota; Sphingobacteriia; Sphingobacteriales; Sphingobacteriaceae.